UUUAAAUUGAGAGUUUGAUCCUGGCUCAGGAUGAACGCUGGUGGCGUGCCUAAUACAUGCAAGUCGUACGCUAGCCGCUGAAUUGAUCCUUCGGGUGAAGUGAGGCAAUGACUAGAGUGGCGAACUGGUGAGUAACACGUAAGAAACCUGCCCUUUAGUGGGGGAUAACAUUUGGAAACAGAUGCUAAUACCGCGUAACAACAAAUC
RNAcentral lists this ribosomal RNA (207 nucleotides) under Oenococcus oeni. RNAcentral's name for it is "partial 16S ribosomal RNA". It matches the Rfam family "Bacterial small subunit ribosomal RNA", at positions 1 to 185 of the family's 1533-position model. The record is from RNAcentral. Lineage: Bacteria; Bacillati; Bacillota; Bacilli; Lactobacillales; Lactobacillaceae.